GUAGGUGGCAAGCGUUGUCCGGGAAUUAUUGGGGCGUAAAGCGCGCGCAGGCGGUUCUUUAAGGGGCUGAUGUGAAAGCCCACGGGCUCAACCGUGGAGGGUCAUUGGAAACUGGAGAACUUGAGUACAGAAGAGGAAAGCGGAAUUCCACGUGUAGCGGUGAAAUGCGUAGAGAUGUGGAGGAACACCAGUGGCGAAGGCGGCUUUCUGGUCUGUAACUGACGCUGAGGCGCGAAAGCGUGGGGAGCAAACAGGAUUAGAUACCCUGGUAGUCCACGCCGUAAACGAUGAGUGCUAAGUGUUAGGGGGUUUCCGCCCCUUAGUGCUGCAGCUAACGCAUUAAGCACUCCGCCUGGGAGUACGGCCGCAAAGGCUG
This 376-nucleotide ribosomal RNA is filed under the name uncultured organism. RNAcentral's name for it is "partial 16S ribosomal RNA". It matches the Rfam family "Bacterial small subunit ribosomal RNA", at positions 527 to 896 of the family's 1533-position model. The record is from RNAcentral.